AAUACAUUCACACUGCUGCAAAUCACCACUACCAUCUCCAGAACUGAAACUGUGUGUCCAUUAAACAAGAAUUCCUCAACAUGUCUCCACUCAACAGCUGGAAAAGAAACAAAAGAAAAUUUGAAAGGGGUGAUGUUCCAACAUAUCAAGUUCAUGAAGGGACAUAAUUAUGCUGUUAUGUGAAAGAAUCAACUCUGUGUGCUCAGCAGACCAUCCAGACACAUCCUAAGCAUUGUGUCUCCGAAGUAGAUCAGUUUAGCUGUGACAUCCUAUAGCAGUAUCUCUAUUAUGUGUCCUGUUCUAUUCAUCAGCAUCUCAACCGAAAAGACACACCCUGGUAAAUGUGACAGUUCCUUUUGGAGAAUGCAGGGAGAAAGACAGAAGAUAUACAUGUUUGACUGUGUGGGCAAGGUCCUUCCUCAAAG
This 425-nucleotide long non-coding RNA is filed under the name Homo sapiens (human). Its description in RNAcentral is "HSALNT0011963". Lineage: Eukaryota; Metazoa; Chordata; Mammalia; Primates; Hominidae. The record is from RNAcentral.